GACUGCGUACCUUUUGUAUAAUGGGUCAGCGACUUAUAUUCUGUAGCAAGGUUAACCGAAUAGGGGAGCCGUAGGGAAACCGAGUCUUAACUGGGCGAAUGAGUUGCAGGGUAUAGACCCGAAACCCGGUGAUCUAUCCAUGGGCAGGUUGAAGGUUGGGUAACACUAACUGGAGGACCGAACCGACUAAUGUUGAAAAAUUAGCGGAUGACUUGUGGAUGGGGGUGAAAGGCCAAUCAAACCGGGAGAUAGCUGGUUCUCCCCGAAAGCUAUUUAGGUAGCGCCUCGUGAACUCAUCUUCGGGGGUAGAGCACUGUUUCGACUAGGGGGUCAUCCCGACUUACCAACUCGAUGCAAACUGCGAAUACCGAAGAAUGUUAUCACGGGAGACACACGGCGGGUGCUAACGUCCGUCGUGAAGAGGGAAACAACCCAGACCGCCAGCUAAGGUCCCAAAGUCAUGGUUAAGUGGGAAACGAAGUGGGAAGGCUCAGACAGCCAGGAUGUUGGCUUAGAAGCAGCCAUCAUUUAAAGAAAGCGUAAUAGCUCACUGGUCGAGUCGGCCCGCGCGGAAGAUGUAACGGGGCUAAACCAUGCACCGAAGCUGCGGCAGCGAACGUAUCACUUAAAUUUGUUUAAGUGAGAAACGAUUGACGGAACGAAGAGACGUCAAUGCGUCCAUAAAAGUCGAGGCGAAAGUCCGAUAAGCGAAUUUAAGGAUACGUUCGUUGGGUAGGGGAGCGUUCUGUAAGCCUGCGAAGGUGUGCUGUGAGGCAUGCUGGAGGUAUCAGAAGUGCGAAUGCUGACAUAAGUAACGAUAAUGCGGGUGAAAAACCCGCACGCCGGAAGACCAAGGGUUCCUGUCCAACGUUAAUCGGGGCAGGGUGAGUCGACCCCUAAGGCGAGGCUGAAAAGCGUAGUCGAUGGGAAACGGGUUAAUAUUCCCGUACUGGUGGUAACUGCGAUGGGGGAACGGAGAAGGCUAGGUUGUCCGGGCGACGGUCGUCCCGGUUCAAGCAUGUAGGCAGAGUGAUUAGGCAAAUCCGGUCACUUAAUGCUGAGGUGUGAUGACGAGCCACUAAGGUGGUGAAGCAAUUGAUGCCCUGCUUCCAGGAAAAGCCUCUAAGCUUCAGGUUACCAACAAUCGUACCCCAAACCGACACAGGUGGUCAGGUAGAGAAUACUCAGGCGCUUGAGAGAACUCGGGUGAAGGAACUAGGCAAAAUGGUGCCGUAACUUCGGGAGAAGGCACGCUGGCGGUAAGUGAAGUCCCUUGCGGACGGAGCCGAAACCAGUCGAAGAUACCAGCUGGCUGCAACUGUUUAUUAAAAACACAGCACUGUGCAAACACGAAAGUGGACGUAUACGGUGUGACGCCUGCCCGGUGCUGGAAGGUUAAUUGAUGGGGUUAUCCUUAGGGAGAAGCUCUUGAUCGAAGCCCC
Molecule: ribosomal RNA, 1442 nt
Filed under: Escherichia coli
Lineage: Bacteria; Pseudomonadati; Pseudomonadota; Gammaproteobacteria; Enterobacterales; Enterobacteriaceae
Description: partial 23S ribosomal RNA
Rfam family: Bacterial large subunit ribosomal RNA
Source: RNAcentral